This is a long non-coding RNA of Colius striatus (speckled mousebird), 465 nucleotides long. RefSeq lists it as uncharacterized. The record is from RefSeq and is a predicted model, not a curated record. Lineage: Eukaryota; Metazoa; Chordata; Aves; Coliiformes; Coliidae. The transcript is spliced from 3 exons.
CGCGUGGGGACGUCAGAGUUGCCCGCCCCCCGGGUCACAGCGGUCGUCGCCGUGCUGUUUUCGUGGAGCUUUCUGUUCCCCUCCUUCCUCCGCUGAUCAGUUAUCCUGGCGGGGGGAAAAGCGCUGCUUCUAAAUCUCCAAAUCAGCCUUUAAGUUCCUGUAAAACUUAAACACAUAAAUUCCAUUGUACAGCGUUCUUCUCACUCUCUGCUGAAAAGUCUUUGGGAAGCGCCGGCGUUAAUGAUUUGCAACAAAAUCACCAUCAGACAGCUGGAAUAGUCUAGCGAGGUAAUACAAAACACAAUUUUAAAGCAGCUUGGAAGGUACAAAUUCUGUGAAGCAUCAGGAAUGGAAUCUGCGGGAAAAUAGCGUCAGUCCCAACUGCUAAGGUAUCAGAAGAGAGUUUGCCAGAGGACCAGAAUGGCAUGCAGUGUUCCUGAGAAUAUCUUUCCAGCACCAAGGACA